AUUGAACGCUGGCGGCAGGCCUAACACAUGCAAGUCGAGCGGAUGAAGGGAGCUUGCUCCUGGAUUCAGCGGCGGACGGGUGAGUAAUGCCUAGGAAUCUGCCUGGUAGUGGGGGAUAACGUCCGGAAACGGGCGCUAAUACCGCAUACGUCCUGUGGGAGAAAGUGGGGGAUCUUCGGACCUCACGCUAUCAGAUGAGCCUAGGUCGGAUUAGCUAGUUGGUGGGGUAAAGGCCUACCAAGGCGACGAUCCGUAACUGGUCUGAGAGGAUGAUCAGUCACACUGGAACUGAGACACGGCCCAGACUCCUACGGGAGGCAGCAGUGGGGAAUAUUGGACAAUGGGCGAAAGCCUGAUCCAGCCAUGCCGCGUGUGUGAAGAAGGUCUUCGGAUUGUAAAGCACUUUAAGUUGGGAGGAAGGGCAGUAAGUUAAUACCUUGCUGUUUUGACGUUACCAACAGAAUAAGCACCGGCUAACUUCGUG
RNAcentral lists this ribosomal RNA (484 nucleotides) under uncultured bacterium. RNAcentral describes it as "partial 16S ribosomal RNA". It matches the Rfam family "Bacterial small subunit ribosomal RNA", at positions 30 to 507 of the family's 1533-position model. The record is from RNAcentral.